This 274-nucleotide ribosomal RNA is filed under the name uncultured bacterium. Its description in RNAcentral is "partial 16S ribosomal RNA". It matches the Rfam family "Bacterial small subunit ribosomal RNA", at positions 523 to 796 of the family's 1533-position model. The record is from RNAcentral.
CUACGGAGGGUCCAAGCGUUAUCCGGAAUCAUUGGGUUUAAAGGGUCCGCAGGCGGUCAAUUAAGUCAGAGGUGAAAGCCCAUCGCUCAACGAUGGAACUGCCUUUGAUACUGGUUGACUUGAGUUAUACGGAAGUAGAUAGAAUAAGUAGUGUAGCGGUGAAAUGCAUAGAUAUUACUUAGAAUACCGAUUGCGAAGGCAGUCUACUACGUAUAUACUGACGCUGAGGGACGAAAGCGUGGGGAGCGAACAGGAUUAGAUACCCGAGUAGUCC